RNAcentral lists this unclassified non-coding RNA (290 nucleotides) under uncultured Byssocorticium. Its description in RNAcentral is "sequence contains ITS2". The stretch from base 1 to 52 matches the Rfam family "5.8S ribosomal RNA", at positions 103 to 154 of the family's 154-position model. Lineage: Eukaryota; Fungi; Basidiomycota; Agaricomycetes; Atheliales; Atheliaceae. The record is from RNAcentral.
AACGCACCUUGCGCUCCUUGGUAUUCCGAGGAGCAUGCCUGUUUGAGUGUCAUUAAAUUCUCAACUUUGCUUGUCUUUUCGAGCAAAGCUUGGAUUUUGGAGCGUGCUGGCGAAGGUCGGCUCCUCUUUAAAUGCAUUAGCGGAAAGUCAUUUGACUUUUGCGGUGAAUCGGCGUGAUAAUAAUGUUGUUGCGUUGUUGGCCCAAAGGUCUCUGUCCGCUUACAAUGGUCUUCGGACGACUUAUUAUGAAACUUGACCUCAAAUCAGGUAGGACUACCCGCUGAACUUAA